AUACGUAGGGGGCGAGCGUUGUCCGGAUUUAUUGGGCGUAAAGGGUGCGUAGGCGGCCUUGUAAGUCAGAUGUGAAAGAUCAUGGCUUAACUGUGGUAAGCAUUUGAAACUGCAGGGCUUGAGUACAGGAGAGGAGAGUGGAAUUCCUAGUGAAGCGGUGAAAUGCGUAGAUAUUAGGAGGAAUACCAGUGGCGGAGGCGACUCUCUGGACUGAUACUGACGCUGAGGCACGAAAGCGUGGGGAGCAAACAGGAUUAGAUACCCUGGUAGUCCACGCUAUAAACGAUGAGUGCUAGGUGUCGGGGGUCAAACCUCGGUGCCGCAGUUAACACAUUAAGCACUCCGCCUGGGGAGUACGGCCGCAAGACUGAAACUUAAAUGAAUUGGCGGGG
RNAcentral lists this ribosomal RNA (392 nucleotides) under uncultured bacterium. RNAcentral's name for it is "partial 16S ribosomal RNA". It matches the Rfam family "Bacterial small subunit ribosomal RNA", at positions 523 to 918 of the family's 1533-position model. The record is from RNAcentral.